RNAcentral lists this ribosomal RNA (342 nucleotides) under uncultured bacterium. RNAcentral describes it as "bacterial SSU rRNA". It matches the Rfam family "Bacterial small subunit ribosomal RNA", at positions 28 to 368 of the family's 1533-position model. The record is from RNAcentral.
GAUGAACGCUAGCGGCAGGCUUAAUACAUGCAAGUCGAGGGGCAGCACGGGUAGCAAUACCUGGUGGCGACCGGCGCACGGGUGCGUAACACGUAUACAAUCUACCUUUAACAGGGGGAUAGCCUUUCGAAAGAGAGAUUAAUACCCCAUAACACAUGAAAUAGCAUUAUUUUAUGUUAAAAGCUCCGGCGGUUAAAGAUGAGUAUGCGUCUGAUUAGCUAGUUGGUGAGGUAACGGCUCACCAAGGCAACGAUCAGUAGGGGAUCUGAGAGGACUACCCCCCACACUGGUACUGAGACACGGACCAGACUCCUACGGGAGGCAGCAGUAAGGAAUAUUGGU